GUGCUCCCUUUGGCAGCACACCCACUAAAAUUGGAACCAGACAGAGAAGUCUAGUGUGGCACAGGGAUGACAAGGACAUUCACGAAGGGUUCCAUGUAUUU
Molecule: small nuclear RNA, 101 nt
Organism: Ursus americanus (American black bear)
Lineage: Eukaryota; Metazoa; Chordata; Mammalia; Carnivora; Ursidae
Source: Ensembl